UAGCUUCUAAUUGUGUGUACUACUGCUUUCCAGGUGGACUUUUGCAUUGGUUUUGGUCUACUUUGCUGUAUGUACAACAUUGUAUUUCCUCCCUUUCCAAGACUCGUGCUAGUACUCUUCAUAUCAUGCGCUAAAUAAGAUUAUAUUCGGUUGACAUUUUAUUUAGGAUAUUGCUGCGUUUCAAUGGUAACUUGUACAUGCAGAUUGGUACUGUUGUAUCUGCCCGGGGAUGUUGGAUUUACUCGAGAAGACCUUUCUCUCAGAGUGGGGAAAGGGAUAAAUUUCUCAAAAAGGAGUCAGAAGAU
Molecule: long non-coding RNA, 305 nt
Filed under: Olea europaea subsp. europaea
Lineage: Eukaryota; Viridiplantae; Streptophyta; Magnoliopsida; Lamiales; Oleaceae
Source: RNAcentral